AUGCACGAGUUGCCAUCGGAAUCGAUGGGUUCAAUCCGUUUGGUAUGGUGUCAAAGACAUACAGUUGUUGGCCCGUGUUUGUUGUUGCCCUCAACCUCCCCCCCUGGCGCCCUAAUGCAACGCAAGCACAUGUUCCUGUCGUUGAUAAUUCCAGGGCCCAAGUAUCCGGGGAAGAAUAUAAGUGUGUACAUGCAACCACUGAUAGAUGAGUUGAAAGAAGCUUGGGUGAAUGGGAUACGGACAUACGACGCUGCUAUCAAAAAGAACUUCACAAUGCAUGUUUGGUACCAGUACUCACUUCAUGACUUACCGGCACAUUCACUUUUCAUGGGGUGGUAUGUGCAUGGGAGGUUCCCAUGCCCAAGGUGCAAGGCAAGCAUGCAGUGCCGUUGGUUGCAGCAUGGUCGCAAGUAUUCUUGCUUCGAUUUUCAUAGACAACAUUUGCGUCGUGACCAUCCAUUCAGACAAGACAAGAAGAACUUCAUGAAAGGUGAAGUAGUUGAACACUCGGCACCACCUGAGAUGACGGGUGAACAAAUUCGUGAUCAAAUAAAUGCUCUCCAGCCUGAUCCCAAACGUCCAGGGUAUUUCUUGGGAUAUAACGAAGAACACGCGUGGACUCACAAGCCAUGCUUAUGGGAUCUCCCCUACUUCCACCAACUCGAGUUUCCACAUAAUAUUGAUGUAAUGCACACUGAAAAGAAUAUCGCCGAGGCCAUUUUUGGCACGUUGUUCAACAUUGCUGAGAAGACGAAGUAUAAUACUAAGUCUAGACUUGAUGUAAUGAAGCUAUGUGAUAGACCCGAACAAAACUUGCAACAACCCGAGGGAAAGAAAAACUGGAGGACGCCAAAGGCGAGGUUUGUUCUUACUAGGGAACAAAAGGAGAUACUCAUGUGGUUCAAAACUUUGUUGUCCCCUGAUGGGUUUGCAACGAACCUUAUGAGGGCAGUGAAACUUGAUAAAUUGAAGUUCAACGGGAUGAAGAGUCAUGAUUGGCACAUAUGGCUUGAGUGGUUAAUGUCGGUGAUGAUUCGAGGCUAUAUCCUUGAGGAUGAUUGGGAAGUAUUGGCAGAGCUUACCUAUUUCUUCCGUGUUCUUUGUGCUAAAGAAGUAUCUCCUACUGUGAUAGAUGAGAUGGAAGAACGGGCCCCCGAGUUGCUCUGCAAGCUAGAGAAGAUCUUUCCACCAGGAUUCUUUAACCCGAUGGAACAUAUGAUUUUACACCUCCCUUCCAAGGCAAGAAUGGGUGGCCCUAUGCAGAAUUGUUGGUGCUAUGGACUUGAGAGAAUGCAUAAGACUCUUCGAGCUAAAUGUAGAAAUAAAUGUAGAAUUGAAGCCUCCAUAGCCGAGGCAUUCUUGGCGGAGGAUAUUACAAACUUCACGACAUCAUGCUAUGCGGGCAAUAUUCCAAGCUUGCAUAAUGCAAAGUCUCGAUACAAUACUGGCGACCCUAAACAUGAAUCCAAGGGGGAGUGUUGGGAGCGGAUCGUGGACUAUUGGUGUUCCAAAGAGUAUAGGGCGAAAAACAAAGAUUAUAGAAAUCGACGAGCCGCAAUGCUGGAUCCACCACAUCAUCAAGGCAACUUGAACAUUAUGGAGUUCGGUGAACGUUGGGCAUCUCACCAUAAUGCUCCAUUGGCCAACCUUUUCGUCUCGUAUGCUUUGGCCCAUAAGGCACCAUACAAAACAGCCACGCCUUACGAUGAGAAUGACACAACGUCCGCGUACUCCAGCAAGACCGCCUAA
RNAcentral lists this ribosomal RNA (1749 nucleotides) under Triticum aestivum (bread wheat). RNAcentral's name for it is "partial small subunit ribosomal RNA". Lineage: Eukaryota; Viridiplantae; Streptophyta; Magnoliopsida; Poales; Poaceae. The record is from RNAcentral.